UACGUAGGGUGCAAGCGUUGUCCGGAAUUAUUGGGCGUAAAGAGCUCGUAGGCGGUUUGUCGCGUCUGCUGUGAAAACUCGGGGCUUAACUCCGGGCCUGCAGUGGGUACGGGCAGACUAGAGUGCGGUAGGGGAGACUGGAAUUCCUGGUGUAGCGGUGAAAUGCGCAGAUAUCAGGAGGAACACCGGUGGCGAAGGCGGGUCUCUGGGCCGAUACUGACGCUGAGGAGCGAAAGCAUGGGGAGCGAACAGG
Molecule: ribosomal RNA, 253 nt
Filed under: uncultured bacterium
Lineage: Bacteria
Description: partial 16S ribosomal RNA
Rfam family: Bacterial small subunit ribosomal RNA
Source: RNAcentral